This 1347-nucleotide ribosomal RNA is filed under the name uncultured prokaryote. Its description in RNAcentral is "partial 16S ribosomal RNA". It matches the Rfam family "Bacterial small subunit ribosomal RNA", at positions 89 to 1418 of the family's 1533-position model. The record is from RNAcentral.
UGACGAGCGGCGGACGGGUGAGUAAUGCCUGGGAAAUUGCCCUGAUGUGGGGGAUAACCAUUGGAAACGAUGGCUAAUACCGCAUAAUAGCCCGGUUGUUCGGAAUUGGUCUCAAAGAGGGGGACCGUCGGGCCUCUCGCGUCAGGAUAUGCCUAGGUGGGAUUAGCUAGUUGGUGAGGUAAGGGCUCACCAAGGCGACGAUCCCUAGAUGGUCUGAGAGGAUGAUCAGCCACACUGGAACUGAGACACGGUCCAGACUCCUACGGGAGGCAGCAGUGGGGAAUAUUGCACAAUGGGCGCAAGCCUGAUGCAGCCAUGCCGCGUGUGUGAAGAAGGCCUUCGGGUUGUAAAGCACUUUCAGUCGUGAGGAAGGUAGUGUAGUUAAUAGCUGCAUUAUUUGACGUUAGCGACAGAAGAAGCACCGGCUAACUCCGUGCCAGCAGCCGCGGUAAUACGGAGGGUGCGAGCGUUAAUCGGAAUUACUGGGCGUAAAGCGCAUGCAGGUGGUUUGUUAAGUCAGAUGUGAAAGCCCGGGGCUCAACCUCGGAAUUGCAUUUGAAACUGGCAGACUAGAGUACUGUAGAGGGGGGUAGAAUUUCAGGUGUAGCGGUGAAAUGCGUAGAGAUCUGAAGGAAUACCGGUGGCGAAGGCGGCCCCCUGGACAGAUACUGACACUCAGAUGCGAAAGCGUGGGGAGCAAACAGGAUUAGAUACCCUGGUAGUCCACGCCGUAAACGAUGUCUACUUGGAGGUUGUGGCCUUGAGCCGUGGCUUUCGGAGCUAACGCGUUAAGUAGACCGCCUGGGGAGUACGGUCGCAAGAUUAAAACUCAAAUGAAUUGACGGGGGCCCGCACAAGCGGUGGAGCAUGUGGUUUAAUUCGAUGCAACGCGAAGAACCUUACCUACUCUUGACAUCUACAGAAUCCAGCGGAGACGCCGGAGUGCCUUCGGGAACUGUAAGACAGGUGCUGCAUGGCUGUCGUCAGCUCGUGUUGUGAAAUGUUGGGUUAAGUCCCGCAACGAGCGCAACCCUUAUCCUUGAUUGCCAGCACGUAAUGGUGGGAACUUCAGGGAGACUGCCGGUGAUAAACCGGAGGAAGGUGGGGACGACGUCAAGUCAUCAUGGCCCUUACGAGUAGGGCUACACACGUGCUACAAUGGCGCAUACAGAGGGCAGCCAACCAGCGAUGGUGAGCGAAUCCCAAAAAGUGCGUCGUAGUCCGGAUUGGAGUCUGCAACUCGACUCCAUGAAGUCGGAAUCGCUAGUAAUCGUAGAUCAGAAUGCUACGGUGAAUACGUUCCCGGGCCUUGUACACACCGCCCGUCACACCAUGGGAGUGGGCUGC